This 253-nucleotide ribosomal RNA is filed under the name uncultured bacterium. Its description in RNAcentral is "partial 16S ribosomal RNA". It matches the Rfam family "Bacterial small subunit ribosomal RNA", at positions 524 to 776 of the family's 1533-position model. The record is from RNAcentral.
UACGGAGGGUGCAAGCGUUAUCCGGAUUUACUGGGUUUAAAGGGUGCGCAGGCGGAUAUGUAAGUCAGUGGUGAAAUCUCUAGGCUUAACCUGGAAAUUGCCGUUGAUACUAUAUAUCUUGAAUGCUGUGGAGGUAAGCGGAAUAUGUCAUGUAGCGGUGAAAUGCUUAGAUAUGACAUAGAACACCUAUUGCGAAGGCAGCUUACUACGCAGAUAUUGACGCUCAUGCACGAAAGCGUGGGGAGCAAACAGG